GUGAGGAAUAUUGCGCAAUGGGGGAAACCCUGACGCAGCGACGCCGCGUGGGUGACGAAGGCCUUCGGGUCGUAAAACCCUUUUGGCAGGGACGAGUGAGGACGGUACCUGUCGAAUAAGUCUCGGCGAACUACGUGCCAGCAGCCGCGGUAAAACGUAGGAGGCGAGCGUUAUCCGGAUUCACUGGGCGUAAAGCGCACGUAGGCGGUCGGGUAAGUCGGAUGUUAAAGCCCCUGGCUCAACUGGGGGAGGUCAUUCGAUACUGCUCGGCUUGAGGAUGAGAGAGGAAAGUGGAAUUCCCGGUGUAGCGGUGGAAUGCGUAGAGAUCGGGAGGAACACCAGUGGCGAAAGCGGCUUUCUGGCUCAUUCCUGACGCUGAGUGUGCGAAAGCGUGGGUAGCAAACGGGAUUAGAUACCCCAGUAGUCC
RNAcentral lists this ribosomal RNA (427 nucleotides) under uncultured bacterium. RNAcentral describes it as "bacterial SSU rRNA". It matches the Rfam family "Bacterial small subunit ribosomal RNA", at positions 354 to 796 of the family's 1533-position model. The record is from RNAcentral.